AGCUCCAAUAGCGUAUAUUAAAGCUGUUGCGGUUAAAAAGCUCGUAGUUGGAUUUCUGUCAAGGACGACUGGUCCGCCUUCUGGGUGAGCACAUAGUUUGGUCUUGGCAUCUUGCUGGAAACUGUUGCUGCACUUGACUGUGUGGUGCAGUGUCCAGCACUUUCACUUUGAGGAAAUUGGAGUGUUUCAAGCAGGCAUAUGCCUUUGGACACAGUAGCAUGGAAUAAUUAGAUUGGGCUUUUGCUCCAACUUGUCGGUUUCUGGAGCUGAAGUGAGAAUCAAUGGGGAUUGUUGGGGGCAUCCGAAUUUAGCCGUCAGAGGUGAAAUUCUUGGAUCUGCUAAAGACGGACAACUGCGAAAGCCUUUGCCCAGGAUGUUUUCAUUGAUCAAGAACGAAAGU
Molecule: ribosomal RNA, 400 nt
Filed under: phytoplankton environmental sample
Lineage: Eukaryota
Description: partial small subunit ribosomal RNA
Rfam family: Eukaryotic small subunit ribosomal RNA
Source: RNAcentral